UGCGUAGGCGGCGAGGUAAGUCAGAUGUGAGAGCUCAGGGCUCAACCCUGAAAUUGCAUCCGAUACUGCCUUGCUAGAGUAAUGGAGGGGAGUCUGGAAUUCACGGUGUAGCAGUGAAAUGCGUAGAUAUCGUGAGGAACACUAGUGGCGAAGGCGAGACUCUGGACAUUUACUGAGCUCAGGCACGAAGGCUAGGGUAGCGAAGC
Molecule: ribosomal RNA, 206 nt
Filed under: uncultured bacterium
Lineage: Bacteria
Description: partial 16S ribosomal RNA
Rfam family: Bacterial small subunit ribosomal RNA
Source: RNAcentral